This 465-nucleotide ribosomal RNA is filed under the name uncultured bacterium. RNAcentral's name for it is "partial 16S ribosomal RNA". It matches the Rfam family "Bacterial small subunit ribosomal RNA", at positions 339 to 795 of the family's 1533-position model. The record is from RNAcentral.
CUACGGGGCGCUGCAGUGGGGAAUAUUGCACAAUGGGCGCAAGCCUGAUGCAGCCAUGCCGCGUGUAUGAAGAAGGCCUUCGGGUUGUAAAGUACUUUCAGCGGGGAGGAAGGGAGUAAAGUUAAUACCUUUGCUCAUUGACGUUACCCGCAGAAGAAGCACCGGCUAACUCCGUGGCCAGCAGCCGCGGUAAUACGGAGGGUGCAAGCGUUGAUCGGAAUUACUGGGCGUAAAGCGCACGCAGGCGGUUUGUUAAGUCAGAUGUGAAAUCCCCGGGCUCAACCUGGGAACUGCAUCUGAUACUGGCAAGCUUGAGUCUCGUAGAGGGGGGUAGAAUUCCAGGUGUAGCGGUGAAAUGCGUAGAGAUCUGGAGGAAUACCGGUGGCGAAGGCGGCCCCCUGGACGAAGACUGACGCUCAGGUGCGAAAGCGUGGGGAGCAAACAGGAUUAGAUACCCCGGUAGUC